UACAGAGGGUGCAAACGUUGCUCGGAAUUAUUGGGCGUAAAGCGCAUGUAGGCGGCAUAGUAAGUUCACUGUGAAAGCCCUUGGCUCAACCAAGGAAGUGCAGUGAAAACUGCUAAGCUCGAGUUCUGAAGAGGGUCGCGGAAUGGCCAGUGUAGAGGUGAAAUUCGUAGAUAUUGGCUAGAACACCAGUGGCGAAGGCGGCGACCUGGUAAGAUACUGCCGCUGAGAUGCGAAAGCGUGGGGAGCAAACAGA
Molecule: ribosomal RNA, 253 nt
Filed under: uncultured bacterium
Lineage: Bacteria
Description: partial 16S ribosomal RNA
Rfam family: Bacterial small subunit ribosomal RNA
Source: RNAcentral